GAUGAACGCUGGCGGCGUGCUUAACACAUGCAAGUCGAACGAGAAGUGAAGACGGAAACCUUCGGGCGGAAGGCUUUAUUUCGAGUGGCGGACGGGUGAGUAACGCGUGGGUAACCUGCCUCAUACAGGGGGAUAACAGUUGGAAACGACUGUUAAUACCGCAUAAGACCACAGCACCGCAUGGUGCGGGGGUAAAAACUCCGGUGGUAUGAGAUGGACCCGCGUUCGAUUAGCCAGUUGGCGGGGUAACGGCCCACCAAAGCGACGAUCGAUAGCCGAUCUGAGAGGAUGACCGGCCACAUUGGGACUGAGACACGGCCCAAACUCCUACGGGAGGCAGCAGUGGGGAAUAGUGCACAAUGGGGGAAACCCUGAUGCAGCGACGCCGCGUGAGUGAAGAAGUAUUUCGGUAUGUAAAGCUCUAUCAGCAGGGAAGAAAAUGACGGUACCUGAGUAAGAAGCCCCGGCUAACUACGUG
RNAcentral lists this ribosomal RNA (478 nucleotides) under uncultured bacterium. RNAcentral describes it as "partial 16S ribosomal RNA". It matches the Rfam family "Bacterial small subunit ribosomal RNA", at positions 28 to 507 of the family's 1533-position model. The record is from RNAcentral.